Non-coding RNA from Bombyx mori (domestic silkworm), 84 nucleotides. Lineage: Eukaryota; Metazoa; Arthropoda; Insecta; Lepidoptera; Bombycidae. The record is from Rfam.
UUAACUCAAAUUUGUAUGGAGUUGAAACUAUUGCUUACGUUGGCCGCUAGAGGCGCUGUUCCAACUGCAUACAAAUUAGAGUUA